This 72-nucleotide transfer RNA is filed under the name Cricetulus griseus (Chinese hamster). It matches the Rfam family "tRNA". From Rfam's summary of the family: Transfer RNA (tRNA) molecules are approximately 80 nucleotides in length. Lineage: Eukaryota; Metazoa; Chordata; Mammalia; Rodentia; Cricetidae. The record is from Rfam by way of RNAcentral.
UGAGGUAUAUCUCAGUGGUAGAACGCUUGCUUAGUACACUAGAGGCCCUGGGUUUCACCCCCAGUACCACAA